Molecule: ribosomal RNA, 491 nt
Filed under: uncultured bacterium
Lineage: Bacteria
Description: partial 16S ribosomal RNA
Rfam family: Bacterial small subunit ribosomal RNA
Source: RNAcentral
GAUGAACGCUAGCUACAGGCUUAACACAUGCAAGUCGAGGGGAAACGAUGAGAGAGCUUGCUCUCUUAGUCGUCGACCGGCGCACGGGUGAGUAACGCGUAUCCAACCUGCCUCUGACCAAGGGAUAACCCGUCGAAAGUCGGACUAAUACCUUAUGCAGUCGUCGGAAGUCAUCUGAUGACGACGAAAGAUUUCAUCGGUGAGAGAUGGGGAUGCGUCUGAUUAGCUUGUUGGCGGGGUAACGGCCCACCAAGGCGACGAUCAGUAGGGGUUCUGAGAGGAAGGUCCCCCACAUUGGAACUGCGACACGGUCCAAACUCCUACGGGAGGCAGCAGUGAGGAAUAUUGGUCAAUGGGCGUAAGCCUGAACCAGCCAAGUAGCGUGCAGGAUGACGGCCCUAUGGGUUGUAAACUGCUUUUAUGCGGGGAUAAAGUGAGGGACGUGUCCUUCAUUGCAGGUACCGCAUGAAUAAGGACCGGCUAAUUCCGUG